This 1565-nucleotide ribosomal RNA is filed under the name Weissella confusa LBAE C39-2. RNAcentral's name for it is "bacterial SSU rRNA". It matches the Rfam family "Bacterial small subunit ribosomal RNA". Lineage: Bacteria; Bacillati; Bacillota; Bacilli; Lactobacillales; Lactobacillaceae. The record is from RNAcentral.
AGAGUUUGAUCCUGGCUCAGGAUGAACGCUGGCGGCGUGCCUAAUACAUGCAAGUCGAACGCUUUGUGGUUCAACUGAUUUGAAGAGCUUGCUCAGAUAUGACGAUGGACAUUGCAAAGAGUGGCGAACGGGUGAGUAACACGUGGGAAACCUACCUCUUAGCAGGGGAUAACAUUUGGAAACAGAUGCUAAUACCGUAUAACAAUGACAACCGCAUGGUUGUUAUUUAAAAGAUGGUUCUGCUAUCACUAAGAGAUGGUCCCGCGGUGCAUUAGCUAGUUGGUAAGGUAAUGGCUUACCAAGGCGAUGAUGCAUAGCCGAGUUGAGAGACUGAUCGGCCACAAUGGGACUGAGACACGGCCCAUACUCCUACGGGAGGCAGCAGUAGGGAAUCUUCCACAAUGGGCGAAAGCCUGAUGGAGCAACGCCGCGUGUGUGAUGAAGGGUUUCGGCUCGUAAAACACUGUUGUAAGAGAAGAAUGACAUUGAGAGUAACUGUUCAAUGUGUGACGGUAUCUUACCAGAAAGGAACGGCUAAAUACGUGCCAGCAGCCGCGGUAAUACGUAUGUUCCAAGCGUUAUCCGGAUUUAUUGGGCGUAAAGCGAGCGCAGACGGUUAUUUAAGUCUGAAGUGAAAGCCCUCAGCUCAACUGAGGAAUUGCUUUGGAAACUGGAUGACUUGAGUGCAGUAGAGGAAAGUGGAACUCCAUGUGUAGCGGUGAAAUGCGUAGAUAUAUGGAAGAACACCAGUGGCGAAGGCGGCUUUCUGGACUGUAACUGACGUUGAGGCUCGAAAGUGUGGGUAGCAAACAGGAUUAGAUACCCUGGUAGUCCACACCGUAAACGAUGAGUGCUAGGUGUUUGAGGGUUUCCGCCCUUAAGUGCCGCAGCUAACGCAUUAAGCACUCCGCCUGGGGAGUACGACCGCAAGGUUGAAACUCAAAGGAAUUGACGGGGACCCGCACAAGCGGUGGAGCAUGUGGUUUAAUUCGAAGCAACGCGAAGAACCUUACCAGGUCUUGACAUCCCUUGACAACUCCAGAGAUGGAGCGUUCCCUUCGGGGACAAGGUGACAGGUGGUGCAUGGUUGUCGUCAGCUCGUGUCGUGAGAUGUUGGGUUAAGUCCCGCAACGAGCGCAACCCUUAUUACUAGUUGCCAGCAUUCAGUUGGGCACUCUAGUGAGACUGCCGGUGACAAACCGGAGGAAGGUGGGGAUGACGUCAAAUCAUCAUGCCCCUUAUGACCUGGGCUACACACGUGCUACAAUGGCGUAUACAACGAGUUGCCAACCCGCGAGGGUGAGCUAAUCUCUUAAAGUACGUCUCAGUUCGGAUUGUAGGCUGCAACUCGCCUACAUGAAGUCGGAAUCGCUAGUAAUCGCGGAUCAGCACGCCGCGGUGAAUACGUUCCCGGGUCUUGUACACACCGCCCGUCACACCAUGAGAGUUUGUAACACCCAAAGCCGGUGGGGUAACCUUCGGGAGCCAGCCGUCUAAGGUGGGACAGAUGAUUAGGGUGAAGUCGUAACAAGGUAGCCGUAGGAGAACCUGCGGCUGGAUCACCU